RNAcentral lists this ribosomal RNA (496 nucleotides) under uncultured bacterium. RNAcentral describes it as "partial 16S ribosomal RNA". It matches the Rfam family "Bacterial small subunit ribosomal RNA", at positions 29 to 507 of the family's 1533-position model. The record is from RNAcentral.
AUGAACGCUGGCGGCGUGCCUAAUACAUGCAAGUCGCGCGAACGGACGAGAAGCUUGCUUCUCUGAUGUUAGCGGCGGCCGGGUGAGUAACACGUGGAUAACCUACCUAUAAGACUGGGAUAACUUCGGGAAACCGGAGCUAAUACCGGAUAAUAUUUUGAACCGCAUGGUUCAAAAGUGAAAGACGGUCUUGCUGUCACUUAUAGAUGGAUCCGCGCUGCAUUAGCUAGUUGGUAAGGUAACGGCUUACCAAGGCAACGAUGCAUAGCCGACCUGAGAGGGUGAUCGGCCACACUGGAACUGAGACACGGUCCAGACUCCUACGGGAGGCAGCAGUAGGGAAUCUUCCGCAAAGGGCGAAAGCCUGACGGAGCAACGCCGCGUGAGUGAUGAAGGUCUUCGGAUCGUAAAACUCUGUUAUUAGGGAAGAACAUAUGUGUAAGUAACUGUGCACAUCUUGACGGUACCUAAUCAGAAAGCCACGGCUAACUACGUG